This 69-nucleotide transfer RNA is filed under the name Monodelphis domestica (gray short-tailed opossum). It matches the Rfam family "tRNA". Rfam says of the family: Transfer RNA (tRNA) molecules are approximately 80 nucleotides in length. Their secondary structure includes four short double-helical elements and three loops (D, anti-codon, and T loops). The record is from Rfam by way of RNAcentral. Lineage: Eukaryota; Metazoa; Chordata; Mammalia; Didelphimorphia; Didelphidae.
GUAAAUGUAGUUUAAUAAAAACAUUAAUUUGUGAAUCUAAACAUAGAAGUUUAAAUCUUCCUAUAUGCU